AACGCUGGCGGCAGGCUUAACACAUGCAAGUCGAGCGGGCGUAGCAAUACGUCAGCGGCAGACGGGUGAGUAACGCGUGGGAACGUACCUUUUGGUUCGGAACAACACAGGGAAACUUGUGCUAAUACCGGAUAAGCCCUUACGGGGAAAGAUUUAUCGCCGAAAGAUCGGCCCGCGUCUGAUUAGCUAGUUGGUAGGGUAAUGGCCUACCAAGGCGACGAUCAGUAGCUGGUCUGAGAGGAUGAUCAGCCACAUUGGGACUGAGACACGGCCCAAACUCCUACGGGAGGCAGCAGUGGGGAAUAUUGGACAAUGGGGGCAACCCUGAUCCAGCCAUGCCGCGUGAGUGAUGAAGGCCCUAGGGUUGUAAAGCUCUUUUGUGCGGGAAGAUAAUGACGGUACCGCAAGAAUAAGCCCCGGCUAACUUCGUGCCAGCAGCCGCGGUAAUACGAAGGGGGCUAGCGUUGCUCGGAAUCACUGGGCGUAAAGGGUGCGUAGGCGGGU
This 504-nucleotide ribosomal RNA is filed under the name Bradyrhizobium sp. D186. RNAcentral describes it as "bacterial SSU rRNA". It matches the Rfam family "Bacterial small subunit ribosomal RNA", at positions 32 to 580 of the family's 1533-position model. The record is from RNAcentral. Lineage: Bacteria; Pseudomonadati; Pseudomonadota; Alphaproteobacteria; Hyphomicrobiales; Nitrobacteraceae.